CGCACAUUGCGCCCAUUAGUAUUCUAGUGGGCAUGCCUGUUCGAGCGUCAUUUCAACCCUUAAGCCCUGCUGCUUAGUGUUGGGGACCGCUAUGAAGCGCCCCCUAAAGAAAUUGGCGGAGUUGUCUAGGGCUCUCAGCGUAGUAAUUCUUCUCGCUUUUGAGCACUGGCGGCGCCUGCCACAAGCCUAUUUUCUCAAGGUUUGACCUCGGAUCAGGUAGGAAUACCCGCUGAACUUAA
This 239-nucleotide unclassified non-coding RNA is filed under the name Astrocystis mirabilis. Its description in RNAcentral is "partial contains 5.8S ribosomal RNA, internal transcribed spacer 2, and large subunit ribosomal RNA". Lineage: Eukaryota; Fungi; Ascomycota; Sordariomycetes; Xylariales; Xylariaceae. The record is from RNAcentral.